Molecule: long non-coding RNA, 1724 nt
Organism: Brassica napus (rape)
Lineage: Eukaryota; Viridiplantae; Streptophyta; Magnoliopsida; Brassicales; Brassicaceae
Exons: 2
Source: RefSeq, a predicted model, not a curated record
UUUUACAACUACAUUGAUUGAUUCAGCUAAAAUAACUAGCAAGUCAUUAGUAUUUUAUUAUUGAGUAUUGACACUUUAGUUUUUACAGCUAAAAUAACUGAACUACUAUUGACAAAUAAUUUGUUUAUAUAAUAGAUGGAAAUUUGAUGUAAAUUAGUACGUUAUAAUUGAUAUCCUUUUCAUAGAUAAAACAUAAUGAUAUGUGUUUGGGGCUUGUUUCUUUAUACAGAUUCUUUAAACAUAUCGAACAAAAAGAUAGAUUAACAAACCUUAUCAUUUUGAGUACUAAAUCAGAAACCCAUUGGAAUAUAAAAUAAUACAUGUUCACAGAUUAUGAUGAAGAAUCUAUAUAUAUAUAUAAAUGUAUGCCUCCCUCCUGUGCUGCCACCUAGGAUCCAGGUCAGAAAGUCGCUGCUUGAGGAGACGACACGUGUCCUUUUCAUCAAACCGCACAGCUUCAUUUAACUUAGAAUACAAUUGAUAUGGGCUUUGUGUAUGGGCUUACGCAAGCCCUAAACCGUAGUCUUCUCUCCUCUCCCUUCGUCCAAUCCAACCUCCCUCCGCUUCCGCCGUCUUCCUCCUCCACCUCCCAGAAAGUGACGCCCGUUCCAGCCCCUCUAUCGCUUCCGCCGGCAGGUAACUUCGGCAGCUUGAAGGUUCGAGGACGAUCGGGGGAGCGGGUUCGAGUCUCCACCGCACACGUUGACGGAGCCGGUGUGGGAUUUGGUGUGAGCCAGUAAUCUGAAGCUGGUGGUAUUUCCAAAUCCGAAUAGGGAGGAUCUUGGGAAGACGCUUAGGGAUUGGGAUCAGUGGGACCGUUUUUCUUCAAGCCAGCCGAAUCUUCCUUGAGAACCUUGGUAUCAAGCCAGCCGAAUCGCCCUCGAGAUUCAUCUAUCUGAAUUGAAGGCGGGACAGUGCAGGUAGCGUGUUGAGGCAAGGCUUUUGCGUUUCUGGGAAUCCCGAAAAGUUAAGAAGCACUGCUGAUAGUUUUGUACAAACACUUGAGAUUCGCAUUUUGGUGACAAAGGUCUAUACUUUUUCGGAUUCGGUUCUUGAUCUGAUUAUAUUUGAUGUUUUUUUCUCACAUAGGAAGUGAUUCGAGGGACAAAGGGAUGAGAAUUUUCCUCAAGAAGGUGUGGUCUGUGGUGGAGCUUUGUCGUACGGAAGUUACGAUCUACAAGGUUCCUUGAGAGUUCAUCAUCACAACCCCAAUUCUAAACCGCUUGAAGGUCUUCCCUUUACUGUGGUUACAACUCAAACAUGUAAUCACAACAUGCCAUUGACUAAGCAACAUAAAGGAGAAAGAGAGAAUAACUCAGUGAGUUAUGAUCAUGAACCAAGUUUCAGUGAGGAAGGUGGUGAUGGUCACAAUGAAUCCAUCAGCUAAAAAGUCUCCAUGGCAGUGAUGAAGUUGACUGAUAAGAUGUUGAAGUUGUUGAUAACUGACGUGCCUUAUAUGUGAUGAUUCGAGUAUGGAUGGUGGUAGUAGAAGAAAGCUUGUGGCUUUACAAAGAAAGAGAAAAUGGAAAUUUGUUUCUGAAGUUCUGUUUGAGAGAGGUUUAAGAAGCUUAAUGACAAUAGAUUGAAUCUGCAUCAUAACCUUGCUCUGCAGCAUUCGGUAAAGCUAGCGUUUAGAACAUAGAUGAUCAAGAGAAUGAUGAUUUUAGGAAUCAUCAACUUGAAAGACGCACAAAUAGAAAAAAUAGACAAAAUCCAAUAUCUGA